UGUUCCAAUAAUGCUUUAGAAUCAGAAACUCUGAUUCAUACCACCUUAGAGUUCUAGAAUCAUUCGGCACAGAACCUAAGCAAGAAGGACUUACAGCUCUCUGGUGUUUCAAAUCAUUUCAAGAGUCAUCAGGAUAGAAGACUGGCAACAAAUGUGGCUGUCUUUACGGGAGCACCAUCUGAACGCAGAAGUGCAGAAUUGCCUAGUUCUUCCUAGACUGGAAGCCACACAGGCAGUGAAGAUUUAGGGUUAUCCUUGCUGUGAUGAAACACCAUGACCAGAGAAACUUGGAGAAGAAAGGAUUUAUUCAGCUUGGGUCCACAUCACUGUUCAUCACUGAAAGAAGUCAGGACAAGAACUCAAAAAGAGCAGGAAGCUGGAGAUGUGUCUGCUACAAAGCUGUGACUCCUACGAAGGGCUGGAACUGACCCAUCUCUGUAUCCUCAGAGUACAGGAGAAGCUGAGACUCUUUAUACCAGAUGGUGCAAGACACAGCAUCUUCAAUUGUGGGCAAUACAAAUUAAGCACGUGUUGGCCAAUGAAAGCCUGAUAAGGGGUUUAAAAUCCGUCUUACAUGAAAACAGAUCCAGAAGUGUUUUUCUUGAAGUGAACACUUCUGAGAAUGCACUUGCUGAUUUUGCAGACUGUUUCUGGGCAUCUUCUCUGUGCAAGGCCUGGGCUGGGGAAAAGGAAGCCAUAGGUACAGGCCUACCAUCCCGGCAGCAGAGCUCAUGGUCUGGAUGGUGUUGGACACACAAAUAAGGAUCUAUGACUCAGUGCACUCAGGUCCCCCAGGAGGCAUGAGGGUGUGCCCAGGGAAGGCUCCGAGAAGACGUUGCAGAAGAGCACAGUUGUGACAAUGUUGAAAACAAGUAUCUUUUUUAAAAGACUUAUUGUUUUUUUAGUGUAUGUAUUGGCUGGAUAUGGUGGCUUACAACUUUAAUCCCAGCAAUCAGGUGACAGAGGCAGGCCAAUUUUGUGGGUAAGAGUCCAGCCUGGUCUACAUAGCAAGCUCCAAUGCAUCCAAGGCUACAUAAUGUGACUCUGUCUCAAAACAACAACAGUAAUAAUAAAAAUGUAUGAAUA
RNAcentral lists this long non-coding RNA (1086 nucleotides) under Mus musculus (house mouse). RNAcentral describes it as "predicted gene, 34821, transcript variant 2 (Gm34821)". The record is from RNAcentral. Lineage: Eukaryota; Metazoa; Chordata; Mammalia; Rodentia; Muridae.